Molecule: ribosomal RNA, 253 nt
Filed under: uncultured bacterium
Lineage: Bacteria
Description: partial 16S ribosomal RNA
Rfam family: Bacterial small subunit ribosomal RNA
Source: RNAcentral
UACGGGGGGGGCAAGCGUUGUUCGGAAUUACUGGGCGUAAAGGGUUCGUAGGUGGCCAACUAAGUCAGACGUGAAAUCCCUCAGCUUAACUGGGGAACUGCGUCUGAUACUGGUAGGCUUGAGUGCAGGAGAGGAACGCGGAAUUCCAGGUGUAGCGGUGAAAUGCGUAGAUAUCUGGAGGAACACCGGUGGCGAAGGCGGCGUUCUGGACUGCAACUGACACUGAGGAACGAAAGCCAGGGGAGCAAACGGG